Long non-coding RNA from Myotis daubentonii (Daubenton's bat), 767 nucleotides. RefSeq lists it as uncharacterized. NCBI's taxonomy places the organism in Eukaryota, Metazoa, Chordata, Mammalia, Chiroptera, Vespertilionidae. The record is from RefSeq and is a predicted model, not a curated record.
GGGAGGGAUUGCAGUGUCGCCGCUGAAGUGACGUUUCGGCUCGCGUCGCGGUUAUUACCGAGGGGUUCCGGGGAACCCGAGGCUUACAGAUGAAGUGUGACCGAAGCUGAGGGGUGGUUGACAUUGAAACCCAGAGGUUCAACCUCCAGAACAUCCCUGGCCCCAGCAGCCGCUUCUUGGUAUGCUUUUGCACCACCUGUUCCGCAGUGGGAGGCACGGAAAAGGAAACUUCCCAAAUUGCACGUGAAGUUUGCAGAGCCUCCCCGACCCAUCCCUUAUUUCCUGAUCAAUAAUUUGCGUGGGAUUGUCUCUCAAGAAUGUAAGUGUGUCAGGAACCCUGACACUGUCAUGAAGAGCAAGAAGGAAAAACUCAGAGAAUUCAAACUCAGCUGGAAACUGCUGGAGGAGCUGCCAGACGCAAUCAAGGAAGAGGAGAAACACUGGGGCCUGAAAAAAGAGAGCAUGAAACAUACCUCGUAUGCACGGUGCAGCGGAAAAGGCGAGAAACGGAAAUCUCUCCACGAUGCAGACACAAGUACAGUAUCUAAAGAAAACCUUUAUACAGGAUAAUAUUCAAGAUGCAGGGUGGCAGUAAGGAGCUCCAGCACCUGGACAGAUUGAGGCCACCUCUGACCAGUUUGGCUGGGGACAAGGGGAAGGGAUGGAAACAUCCCCAAAGGAUCACUGAACUCUGACACCAUUUGGCAGUCCCCCCACUUCCGUUCCACUCCGUAUGAAAUAUUCCUCAGUUACUCCAUUACCUUGAA